Cordylochernes scorpioides is the source of this 77-nucleotide non-coding RNA. The record is from the annotation of a GenBank genome assembly. NCBI's taxonomy places the organism in Eukaryota, Metazoa, Arthropoda, Arachnida, Pseudoscorpiones, Chernetidae.
AGCGCCCAAUGCGCGGGAUUCGAACCCGGGUCGUAGAGAUCGAAGAACAACGUUUUAAACCACUCAUCCAUCAACGC